UACGGAGGGUGCAAGCGUUAUCCGGAUUUACUGGGUUAAAGGGUGUGUAGGCGGGUCUUUAAGUCAGUGGUGAAAUCUCCGAGCUUAACUUGGAAACUGCCAUUGAUACUAUUGAUCUUGAAUUCUGUUGAGGUGGGCGGAAUAAGUCAUGUAGCGGUGAAAUGCAUAGAUAUGACUUAGAACACCAAUUGCGAAGGCAGCUCGCUAAACAGAGAU
This 216-nucleotide ribosomal RNA is filed under the name uncultured bacterium. RNAcentral's name for it is "partial 16S ribosomal RNA". It matches the Rfam family "Bacterial small subunit ribosomal RNA", at positions 524 to 740 of the family's 1533-position model. The record is from RNAcentral.